UGGCUCAGAACGAACGCUGGCGGCAUGCCUAACACAUGCAAGUCGAACGAAGCCUUCGGGCUUAGUGGCGCACGGGUGCGUAACGCGUGGGAACCUGCCCCUUGGUUCGGAAUAACAGUUAGAAAUGACUGCUAAUACCGGAUGAUGACGAAAGUCCAAAGAUUUAUCGCCGAGGGAUGGGCCCGCGUAGGAUUAGCUAGUUGGUGAGGUAAUGGCUCACCAAGGCGACGAUCCUUAGCUGGUCUGAGAGGAUGAUCAGCCACACUGGGACUGAGACACGGCCCAGACUCCUACGGGAGGCAGCAGUGGGGAAUAUUGGACAAUGGGCGAAAGCCUGAUCCAGCAAUGCCGCGUGAGUGAUGAAGGCCUUAGGGUUGUAAAGCUCUUUACCAGGGAUGAUAAUGACAGUACCUGGAGAAUAAGCUCCGGCUAACUCCGUG
RNAcentral lists this ribosomal RNA (440 nucleotides) under uncultured bacterium. Its description in RNAcentral is "bacterial SSU rRNA". It matches the Rfam family "Bacterial small subunit ribosomal RNA", at positions 20 to 507 of the family's 1533-position model. The record is from RNAcentral.